This is a long non-coding RNA of Rhipicephalus microplus (southern cattle tick), 545 nucleotides long. RefSeq lists it as uncharacterized. Lineage: Eukaryota; Metazoa; Arthropoda; Arachnida; Ixodida; Ixodidae. The record is from RefSeq and is a predicted model, not a curated record.
CAACAACUGGGCGCCGGAGCUGGAUUAGACGUUUCGCGUGGGCGUCGCGGCGGAGUUCAAGUCACGUGAUCAACGUUUCCCGCCUUUCGUCUCGGUCGUGUUGUGCAGACUCCCCUCGGCGCACGGUCCGAUCCGUUCGAGUGUUGGUCUUCGUCAACAUAUUUUUCAAGCAAGAGACUGCGACGACAAUUGACGAUCGUCAGCACAGGGCUCGCUGGGAAUUUUAUCGCAGGAAGGAACCAGCAUCGCAGAAAAACUCCUUGAACUGCCACACACCCCUGCUAUUAUUGCACUUGGAAGCAUUUUCAAGAAGGAAUCUUUUGUGACCUGCGAACAGCAGCUUCUUUUCAACGAGGCUGUGGACUUUUCAGAGGCUACCUGUCUCUUACUUCUGAGCUACUACAUUUUCAACUUAGCAUAUGCUGACCCUGUCACGACUACACAGGACUUUCUUCAGAGGAAGAUGUUCAACGGAAACCCGGAAAGGAGCAGUAAAUUGUCUAAUGGCUCAUAUCAAGGAUCAUUGUGGACAACAGUAUAAUGAA